UUUAAAAAAUCCAAACUAUUUAUUGAAAAGCUCUACUAAACAAAAUUAGUUCAGACAAAGCAAUAAGAUGACGAAUCAAGCUCUCUCCAGAGAUGAAAGAAAAGCCAGUCUCAAAGAUGACUAUAACUAACGCUGUUGCUGGAAAGACAAGGGCACCGAGCCAGCCCUGGGAGAGGCUCCACUUCUUCAAAGACAAAACGAUUCCAAACGUGGCAGGACACAGUGCUCACCCUACAGUGAACAUCUGGGAAUAUGUUAUUUUUUAAAUUCAGUUAAUCUUUCUUCUUCUUUUUUUUUUUUUUUUUUUGAGACAGAGUCUCCUGUCACCCAGGCUGGAGUGGUGCAGGGGUGCGAUCUCAGCUCACUGCAACCUCCACCUCCUGGGUUCAAAUGAUUCUCGGGCCUCAGCCUCACAAGUAGCUGGAAUUACAGGCAUGCGCCACCAAUACCCAGCUAAUCUUUGUAUUUUUAGUAGAGAUAGGGUUUCAUUAUGUUGUCCAGGCUGGGAGACAGAGCAAGACCCCAACUCAAACAAAAACAAA
This 542-nucleotide non-coding RNA is filed under the name Pan troglodytes (chimpanzee). The record is from RNAcentral. Lineage: Eukaryota; Metazoa; Chordata; Mammalia; Primates; Hominidae.